CUUCUAUUUUGUAUACAAAUUUUAAGAAAUGGUCGUUACAGAUUUUGUUUUGUUUGUGAUCUUCACGAUCUAUUCAAAUUCAAUGUUUACAUCGAUAUAAGGUAUUCUUGAUUUUGCUUAGUAACUUAAUUUUAAAAGGGCAAAUCUUUGCUGCCUAGCAAUAAACUCAUCAUAGAUAUCAGGACUGAAAUUUCAGAUUUACACCAGACGCGCGUUUCGUCUACAAAAGACUCAUCAGUGACGCUCGAAUAAAAAAAUGUUGAAUAGGCCAAAUAAAGUACGAAGUUCAAGACAUUGAGGACCAAAAAUUUCUAAAAAGUUUGCCUAAUAUAGCUUACGGUAAUCUAUUCCUGAAGUAGAAAAGCCUGAGUAUUUCAAAAAUUCUAAAUUUUGUUAACAGUUAAUUUAUAAUUAUGAACAUAUCAAUCGAUUCCUUUGGAUUUUUUUUUCCUGACUUUCUCUACUCUAGCUGAGCAUGUGCAAGAAAAGUAUAAAAAUAGUAAAAACAUAAAUUGAAAUUGAUACUCCUGGAAUUUAUUCGUGUAGCAACAUUUUAGACCAAUUUUACCCUGAGCAUCUAUAGCCUGUUGUACUUGUUGUUGGCUAUUUAAGAUGGAACAUAAUAACAUUGACUGGAAGUUUUGAUUUUGUUUUAAUUUAUUUUUAUUUUUACAAUUUACCAGCAAGUUUUACCGUGAAUCGAUAGUUGAUAGCGUCCUUGCUUAAAUGGGACAAACAUUUAGAAGAUCUAGUUCCCCGUAUUUACAGGGGAGGUUAUAUUUUGUCACUUGUUGUCCUACUGUAUUCAAUGGUCAUCUACUUUCCAAAUUAACACAAAUAAUUAACCUCUGUCACUUUUUAAAAACAUGUCCAAUAUCUUUACACUGAG
This 889-nucleotide long non-coding RNA is filed under the name Mytilus galloprovincialis (Mediterranean mussel). Lineage: Eukaryota; Metazoa; Mollusca; Bivalvia; Mytilida; Mytilidae. The record is from RNAcentral.